Molecule: ribosomal RNA, 480 nt
Filed under: uncultured bacterium
Lineage: Bacteria
Description: bacterial SSU rRNA
Rfam family: Bacterial small subunit ribosomal RNA
Source: RNAcentral
GAUGAACGCUAGCGGCAGGCUUAACACAUGCAAGUCGAGGGGCAACACGGGUAGCAAUACCUGGUGGCGACCGGCGCAAGGGUGCGUAACGCGUGAGCAACAUGCCCUAUACAGGGGGAUAAUCCAGGGAAACUUGGUCUAAUAUCCCAUAGUAUUUAGAGGUGGCAUCACCACUAAAUUAAAGCUUCGGUGGUAUAGGAUUGGCUCGCGUGACAUUAGCUUGAUGGUGGGGUAACGGCUCACCAUGGCGAUGAUGUCUAGGGGUUCUGAGAGGAAGACCCCCCCACACUGGGACUGAGACACGGCCCAGACUCCUACGGGAGGCAGCAGUGAGGAAUAUUGGACAAUGGAUGGAAAUCUGAUCCAGCCAUGCCGCGUGCAGGAAGACGGCCCUAUGGGUUGUAAACUGCUUUUAUAUGGGAGCAAUAAGGUUUACGCGUAGACCGAUGAGAGUACCAUAUGAAUAAGCAUCGGCUAACU